RNAcentral lists this unclassified non-coding RNA (200 nucleotides) under soil metagenome. Its description in RNAcentral is "partial contains internal transcribed spacer 2 and large subunit ribosomal RNA". The record is from RNAcentral.
GCGUCAUUACACCCCUCGAGCCCAGCUCGGUAUUGAGGGUCGCCCCCGGGGUGCCCUCGAAAUUUAGCGGUGACUUGGUUGGUCCUCGAGCGAAUCAAACUUUAUACGUUCCGCUUUGGAAGACUGAACUUGUCUGCCGGACAAACUACAAAUUAUCUACGAUUGACCUCGGAUCAGGUAGGGAUACCCGCUGAACUUAA